GAUGAACGCUAGCUACAGGCUUAACACAUGCAAGUCGAGGGGUAACGAGAGGAAAGCUUGCUUUCCUUGUCGACGACCGGCGCACGGGUGAGUAACGCGUAUCCAACCUGCCCCCAACUAGGGAAUAACCUUGCGAAAGUAAGACUAAUACCCUAUAAUUUCCUCAGAUGUCAUCUGACGAGGAAUAAAGAUUUAUCGGCUGUGGAUGGGGAUGCGUCGGAUUAGCUUGUUGGCGGGGUAACGGCCCACCAAGGCAACGAUCAGUAGGGGUUCUGAGAGGAAGGUCCCCCACAUUGGAACUGAGACACGGUCCAAACUCCUACGGGAGGCAGCAGUGAGGAAUAUUGGUCAAUGGGCGGAAGCCUGAACCAGCCAAGUAGCGUGAAGGAUGACGGCCCUAUGGGUUGUAAACUGCUUUUAUACAGGAAUAAAGUUAGCCACGUGUGGUUAUUUGUAGGUACUGUAUGAAUAAGGACCGGCUAAUUCCGUGCCAGCCGCCGCUGUAA
RNAcentral lists this ribosomal RNA (506 nucleotides) under uncultured bacterium. RNAcentral's name for it is "partial 16S ribosomal RNA". It matches the Rfam family "Bacterial small subunit ribosomal RNA", at positions 28 to 523 of the family's 1533-position model. The record is from RNAcentral.